AUAUUGGACAAUGGGCGCAAGCCUGAUCCAGCCAUACCGCGUGGGCGAAGAAGGCCUUCGGGUUGUAAAGCCCUUUUGUUGGGACAGUAAUCCAGCUGGCUAAUACCAGGUUGGGAUGACGGUACCCAACUAACAAGCACCGGCUAACUUCGUGCCAGCAGCCGCGGUAAUACGAAGGGUGCAAGCGUUACUCGGAAUUACUGGGCGUAAAACGUGCGUAGGUGGUCGUUUAAGUCCGUUGUGAAAGCCCUGGGCUCAACCUGGGAACUGCAGUGGAUACUGGGCGACUAGAAUGUGGUAGAGGGUAGCGGAAUUCCUGGUGUAGCAGUGAAAUGCGUAGAGAUCAGGAGGAACAUCCAUGGCGAAGGCAGCUACCUGGACCAACAUUGACACUGAGGCACGAAAGCGUGGGGAGCAAAC
This 420-nucleotide ribosomal RNA is filed under the name uncultured bacterium. Its description in RNAcentral is "partial 16S ribosomal RNA". It matches the Rfam family "Bacterial small subunit ribosomal RNA", at positions 361 to 773 of the family's 1533-position model. The record is from RNAcentral.